Long non-coding RNA from Sinocyclocheilus grahami, 2437 nucleotides. Lineage: Eukaryota; Metazoa; Chordata; Actinopteri; Cypriniformes; Cyprinidae. The record is from Ensembl.
GCGCUUGAAUGCGGCGUCCGGUAAAACGCGGACUGGAUACUGAGGUAAAACAUGACUUUGUUUAACUGACGAACUAAACCGAGAUCUGUAAUAGAAUAUUAGCGGAAUAACCAAUUACAUCUUUACGCUAAACGUUGAAAUGUUGUUUAGAUUUAAACGAACGGAAUUAAAAACAAAGUCCGGAUCCGCCUGAAGAGGAAGUCCAGUCCGGGUUUAACGGUCGUUACUGUGAGCGGAAGCGCUCGAGUGUAAACACAGCGCAGGUAAACACGACCUAUCGUUAAAACUUCUGCUUCACGCAGUUAAAGACUUCAGUAAAGUGGUUUGCUGAAGUCUCACAGAGAUAGCGAACAGCUCCGAGUCGAGUUUCACAUCGUGUUUCUGUCGGUUUCGCGUGCGGGAUCUCUUCAGCUGUGUUUCAGUGGCAUGGAGAGUUACGAAGAUUUCAUCCGGAGCCGUUAUAACCCUCAUGAUGAUGAAGAUGAAGAUGAUGAAGAACCCGUCACGCCUUCAUCAGUGAUCGUGUUUCGUGGAGCUCGUGUUCUUCCUCCUCUGGUAAGAGUCUCAUCCUCAUCCUCAUCAUCUCAUUAUAUAUGCAGGUAUGUUAAUGAGUGUGUGUUUAUCAGCUUAAUGAGCUGCAGCGAGACGAGAUGAGACGACUGAGAGAAGCAGCUGUGAGUCUGAUGAUGAAGAUGAAGAGGAGGAGAGAGGAAGAGUCUCGCAUCAGCUUCACAGACGUGAGGAUCAGUGGCGCUGAGCGACACACAGACCAGAGUGAUGACAUCACAGACUGUGACAUCAUCUCGUCCGCUCCUCUGACGUCAACCGCUCACGACGGCCGACCGGCCAAUCAGCUGAGAGCGUCUCCGGAGGACGAUUCGCUGGAAAACACCCAGAUCACGGCUCUGUUCGAGAAACACGAGACCCAGAGUCCUCGGGAUGCACCGGACAGUCACUCUCACAGCCAGAUGCUGGCGAUGAUGUCAUCGGGCUACGUGACCAAUGACAACACAGACGUCAGCGGUCACUCCGGCUGGAUCCGCUUAGAUACGACACGGGCAGGAAGUGACAUCAUCAGUCACGCGCCAGUAGAUGGAGCGAUUUUAGAGGAGGAGAUUGUAGCACCACUUCCAAAGCCGGCGGAAGAUGUAGAACCAGUACCAUCUGACCCGGAUGAAUUUCCGUAUCGAAUGAGCCUUCAAAACCUACUCAAGAAAUCCCAGGAGUACCGGCGUCGCCAGCGUCUGCUGCGCAGUCAGGCCAGAGCCGCGGAGGAGCACAACCUGUCCGAUAAAGAGAACGAGGAGCUCCUUCCCAAACAGAUGUGGAGGAAAGCCAGAGAGAAGACGGAGGGAGACGCCAGCACAGAUCGCACGAAUGACGAACAUAACGCUCUUCCUCAGGCCGUCUCCUCAGAACUUCCUGUUACGGCCAGAUCCCUGUACGGCUCCAAACAGAAGCCCGCCGGUGUGUCCAGAUGGUCCUCAGCUGCGAGAUUCACAAACAUCCCCACGCCCAAGUUCUGCUUAAGUCCUGUACGCUGCAAAAAACGGAGCAGGAUUCCCGGUCCGGUUUGGAAAGCUUUGGGCAAACCGGCUCAGACCGACCCAAUUGGUCCGUCUGAUCAGUGCGACAAAGUGAUGAUGAUGUCAUCGCAGACGGAGCAGAUCACACAGCUAGAGCUGAACCUGUCUAGCCUCAAAGCGCUGAUCUCUGACCUGGAGUCGACGCUCACGCUCUCACAGACGGGGAGUCCCACCGACGACGGCCAGAAACGGCCCUCCACCGUCACUUUCAGCGAAACCGUCACCGCUAAAAAUUGUGGGGUCGGUCAAGAGAGCCCCACCUCCAUCCGUUCGGUCGUGGGCGUCCUCGCAGACACCAGCAAUCGUUCUGUGGAUGAAGCGGGAAGCUCUGUGAUUGGCUCGUCUUACGACGUAGACGUCCCGUCUGGCCUGUGGAAGCAGCUGACCCCUGAGACGGGAGGUCACGAGGUCACGUCUCGGGUCAAACGGAGGCUCCUGAUGAACGAGGACGACGCGUUCGGUCCUGGACGAGAGACGGGAAGCAUACUCUCCAGCACACCCAGAUUGAUGUCCUCAGGGCUGCAGUCGUCUGCGCAGAUGCAGGAGGAUCAGGUGACGGCUCUGAUGGAGGAAGAGCGCAGACGACAGCAGGAACUACUGCAGUCUUUAGCGGUGCGGUACCAGUUUCUGCGGAGCAUGUCCUUCCCGUGUCCCGGCGCAGGCUCACGUCUGGAGGACACGCCGACCUCCUUCACCGCCUCAUCUGUCUGCACACACGCUGAGCUUACAGACGCGCACAACACCUCACGGGUAACACACUCACUCACACACACACACACACACACACACACACACACUCUCUCUCUCUCACACACACUCUCUCACACACACACACACACACACACUCACAC